RNAcentral lists this ribosomal RNA (254 nucleotides) under uncultured microorganism. RNAcentral describes it as "partial 16S ribosomal RNA". It matches the Rfam family "Archaeal small subunit ribosomal RNA", at positions 474 to 727 of the family's 1478-position model. The record is from RNAcentral.
CACCGGCGGCUCGAGUGGGGGCCACUUUUAUUGGGUCUAAAGCGUCCGUAGCCGGCUUGGCAAGUCCCCUGGGAAAUCUGGCGGCUUAACCGUCAGGCGUCCAGAGGAUACUGCCAGGCUUGGGACCGGGAGAGGUGAGAGGUACCUCAGGGGUAGGGGUGAAAUCGUGUGAUCCCUGAGGGACCACCAGUGGCGAAGGCGUCUCACUAGAACGGGUCCGACGGUCAGGGACGAAAGCUGGGGGCACGAACCGG